GCCGGGGUGGCGGAAUCGGGAGACGCGGCAGACUUAAAAUCUGCUGGGGCUCCGCCCCGUGGGGGUUCGACUCCCCCCCUCGGCACCA
Molecule: transfer RNA, 88 nt
Filed under: Candidatus Rokuibacteriota bacterium
Lineage: Bacteria; Candidatus Rokuibacteriota
Description: tRNA-Leu
Rfam family: tRNA
About the family: Transfer RNA (tRNA) molecules are approximately 80 nucleotides in length. Their secondary structure includes four short double-helical elements and three loops (D, anti-codon, and T loops). Further hydrogen bonds mediate the characteristic L-shaped molecular structure. tRNAs have two regions of fundamental functional importance: the anti-codon, which is responsible for specific mRNA codon recognition, and the 3' end, to which the tRNAs corresponding amino acid is attached (by aminoacyl-tRNA synthetases). tRNAs cope with the degeneracy of the genetic code in two manners: having more than one tRNA (with a specific anti-codon) for a particular amino acid; and 'wobble' base-pairing, i.e. permitting non-standard base-pairing at the 3rd anti-codon position.
Source: RNAcentral